UAAUGUUAACAUAUAAAAACGUACAAACAUUAUUACAGUUUGUUAUCGUGUAUUGCGGGAAUAUUCUAGUCUAGCGGAAAGGAUGAUUUUUUUGCAUAUUUUGCAAAUAUUUGAUAUAGAAAAUAUGUCUGCAAGAAGAUUUAGCUUGAUUCACAAAAUUGAUAAAGUUAUAGCACCUGGUAAGGAGCGAUUUCCGCCGCGCGCUCAGCAUUCCGGCUGCGAUUUGGUUAGGUUCGGCUAAUGAAUUGCUGAAACGUUGUUUAGGAGAAACACAAAAUAAUAACUAAAGCUUUUUAAAUGUACUGAUUUGGAUUUUUGCUCCAAAACAUCAUCAUUCUGGGGCAAAGAUUGAAGUGGCAACUUUUCUGCAUGCGGAGAUGUACGCAAAUUUUCGGAAGAAAACUCGCACGAAACAGCGUUCAACUGAUUUCCUUAAAGAUGAGAGACUAAAUCGCAGGGAAGAGAGAACAGCGCAGUAAGACUUUUAUAUGCAGGAGGAAGGUUCCCUGCAUGGCCCUACACUAGCUGAUUGAUCAUUUUAGAAGCAGAAUAGCCAGAAUCAUAAGAGCCAUGCCAGAACAGUCAUCAUA
Molecule: long non-coding RNA, 590 nt
Organism: Camponotus floridanus (Florida carpenter ant)
Lineage: Eukaryota; Metazoa; Arthropoda; Insecta; Hymenoptera; Formicidae
Exons: 3
Source: RefSeq, a predicted model, not a curated record